UUCGGACCUCCGAUCAAGCAAGNGG
This 25-nucleotide ribosomal RNA is filed under the name Elachista vellosa. RNAcentral describes it as "partial 28S rRNA". Lineage: Eukaryota; Phaeophyceae; Ectocarpales; Chordariaceae. The record is from RNAcentral.